UACAGAGGGGGCAAGCGUUGUUCGGAAUUACUGGGCGUAAAGGGCGCGUAGGCGGCCUGCUAAGUCGAACGUGAAAUCCCUGGGCUCAACCCAGGAACUGCGUCCGAUACUGGUUGGCUUGAAUCCGGGAGAGGGAUGUGGAAUUCCAGGUGUAGCGGUGAAAUGCGUAGAUAUCUGGAGGAACACCGGUGGCGAAGGCGACAUCCUGGACCGGUAUUGACGCUGAGACGCGAAAGCGUGGGUAGCAAACGGG
This 253-nucleotide ribosomal RNA is filed under the name uncultured bacterium. RNAcentral describes it as "partial 16S ribosomal RNA". It matches the Rfam family "Bacterial small subunit ribosomal RNA", at positions 524 to 776 of the family's 1533-position model. The record is from RNAcentral.